CCGAAUUAUUUACUGGACUAAUACAGAUUUUAAGAGAAAACAAAGAUUGUGAAUGUAGUAAGGAAGCUUUAUUCUCGUGCUCCCACUCCUAUGUAUUGUAGGUAUCCUAUUAUGUAUCUAUUGUAAGGUAGGUGCUCUUUCAUGAAUUCUUCUGGCAUUUUCUUCCAUUCAAGAUCUAUGUAUUCUUUUAUUGAAAGAAUAGCAUUUGGCUUAGAAUUUGGAAGAGAAUUUUGAUUUUAUUCUCUAAUGUCUCUAUAAUAUUAGAUUGGUCGGAACGAGAUGCUAAUUUAUGAUCAGUUUAAGCAUUUACAGAGGCAGAAUAAUUUGUGCGUAAUAUACAGAAAAUCGUUUCUAAUUCGCUUAUGACG
Molecule: long non-coding RNA, 368 nt
Organism: Centruroides sculpturatus (bark scorpion)
Lineage: Eukaryota; Metazoa; Arthropoda; Arachnida; Scorpiones; Buthidae
Exons: 3
Source: RefSeq, a predicted model, not a curated record